GAUGUAGCUCAGUGGUACAGCACUUGUCUGACAUGCUCAGGGCCCUGGGUUCAAUCCCCAGCACCA
This 66-nucleotide transfer RNA is filed under the name Marmota monax (woodchuck). RNAcentral's name for it is "tRNA.Val". The record is from RNAcentral. Lineage: Eukaryota; Metazoa; Chordata; Mammalia; Rodentia; Sciuridae.